CAGCACCUCAAGUGGUCAGGAUGAUUAUUGGGCCUAAAGCAUCCGUAGCCGGCGCUGUAAGUUUUCGGUUAAAUCUGUACGCUCAACGUACAGGGUGCCGGGAAUACUGCAGCGCUAGGGAGUGGGAGAGGUAGACGGUACUCGGUAGGAAGGGGUAAAAUCCUUUGAUCUAUUGAUGACCACCUGUGGCGAAGGCGGUCUACCAGAACACGUCCGACGGUGAGGGAUGAAAGCUGGGGGAGCAAACCGGAUUAGAUACCCGAGUAGUCC
RNAcentral lists this ribosomal RNA (270 nucleotides) under uncultured archaeon. Its description in RNAcentral is "partial 16S ribosomal RNA". It matches the Rfam family "Archaeal small subunit ribosomal RNA", at positions 477 to 747 of the family's 1478-position model. The record is from RNAcentral.